RNAcentral lists this unclassified non-coding RNA (184 nucleotides) under fungal sp. RNAcentral's name for it is "partial internal transcribed spacer region". The stretch from base 1 to 46 matches the Rfam family "Eukaryotic small subunit ribosomal RNA", at positions 1786 to 1831 of the family's 1831-position model. Lineage: Eukaryota; Fungi. The record is from RNAcentral.
AAGUCGUAACAAGGUUUCCGUAGGUGAACCUGCGGAAGGAUCAUUACAAAUCUCUGUCGCUGGUCAGAUUUGACCAGCGCACAUAUGCACAGGGCCGCAAGGCUCUGAUGUUUACGCUUGUUUGUUUGACAGAUUAAUGUGACUUUAAUUUUGACAACUUUUAACAAUGGAUCUCUUGGCUCUU